Molecule: ribosomal RNA, 271 nt
Filed under: uncultured archaeon
Lineage: Archaea
Description: partial 16S ribosomal RNA
Rfam family: Archaeal small subunit ribosomal RNA
Source: RNAcentral
CAGCGCCCCGAGUGGCAAUCGCGAUUAUUGGGCCUAAAGCGUUCGUAGCCGGCUCCGUAAGUCCCUUGUGAAAUCGUCGCGCUUAACGUGACGGCGUGCAGGGGAUACUGCGGGGCUCGGGACCGGGAGGAGUCAGAGGUAUGCCUUGGGGACCGGUAAAAUGGGAUAAUCCAAGGUAGACCGCCGAUGGCGAAGGCAUCUGACCAGAACGGAUCCGACGGUGAGGGACGAAAGCCAGGGGAGCGAACCGGAUUAGAUACCCGAGUAGUCC